GGAUAUCUAUCAAACGCAAAGGAAACAAUAUUAUGGAUAGGAUCUCAUAUAUGUGUAAUAAUUAUGGUACUAAUUAAUUAGUAUAUAUAUGGCAAAUAUCACUAAAAUUGAAAUACGAAAUCUUGGUCAAUAUAAUUUCAUUAAUCAAUUAUUUAAUUAUCUUUGGAUAGCUAAUUUUUUUGACUGUUACGUGUAUAUGUAAUUUAGCAUUGAAAAGUGGAUUAUGAUUGGUUCAAAGAUGAUAUGUGAAUCAUGGGAUACGGGUCGUUUUGUUGACCAUAAUUUUAAUUAACUUUGAAUAUAGUUUUAAAUUUCAAUUUUUUUUUUCCUUAAAAAAAAAUUUUAAUUUAUUUCUCUUUGGUCACAGUUACGGGUGAAUAUUAUCAAAUGAUUUUUAUUCUUUGUUUGGAUGUGAGCUUUUUUUUUUUUUUUUUUUUUUUUUUUUUUUUUUUUUUUUUUUUUUUUUUUUUUUCUAAAUGAAAAUCUUCAAUUGCUUUCAUCCCCAAACAGUCUAAGUGAGUAAAUUUUCUGAAAUUGUGGUAAAUCAGGAGGUUGGAGGUUCAGAUUAAAGAGAUGUGACGUGGUUAUAGAAAAUGAACUUUAAAUUUUUUUGUUGUAGUUCAUUUGCAAGUUCUUAGAUAUGAACUGACAUUAUAUAUAAGUGGAUAUUUGAAAAUAAUUUGAAGACACAAUUGUUGCUAUCAAAAAUUUAACUCCAAACUCAAAUUUGCACAUACUUCUUUACUAAGUAUUCUAAUUUUUUAAAUGAAAAUUAAACUUUCAUUUCACACUAAAAUUGUUGCACUAAAAAUGGGAGGGCUAAUUUUAAAAUUUUGAUCAGGAUGUAAAAGUUGGUGUUAAUUAGGAAAAAUGGGUGGGAUUUUCCUGUAAUUCACCCUUUAAUUAUAGGUAUAAGUCAUUAGUUUAUGAGAAUAAAUUGACAUGACAUACUCCCUCCAUUCUUUUUAUAUAGGUACAAUCUUAUUUUCAC
RNAcentral lists this long non-coding RNA (991 nucleotides) under Jatropha curcas. Its description in RNAcentral is "long non-coding RNA (JCUR_LNC003040)". The record is from RNAcentral. Lineage: Eukaryota; Viridiplantae; Streptophyta; Magnoliopsida; Malpighiales; Euphorbiaceae.